This 429-nucleotide ribosomal RNA is filed under the name Pseudomonas sp. RNAcentral's name for it is "partial 16S ribosomal RNA". It matches the Rfam family "Bacterial small subunit ribosomal RNA", at positions 355 to 776 of the family's 1533-position model. Lineage: Bacteria; Pseudomonadati; Pseudomonadota; Gammaproteobacteria; Pseudomonadales; Pseudomonadaceae. The record is from RNAcentral. RNAcentral also lists the same sequence under 5 other names.
UGGGGAAUAUUGGACAAUGGGCGAAAGCCUGAUCCAGCCAUGCCGCGUGUGUGAAGAAGGUCUUCGGAUUGUAAAGCACUUUAAGUUGGGAGGAAGGGCAGUUACCUAAUACGUGAUUGUUUUGACGUUACCGACAGAAUAAGCACCGGCUAACUCUGUGCCAGCAGCCGCGGUAAUACAGAGGGUGCAAGCGUUAAUCGGAAUUACUGGGCGUAAAGCGCGCGUAGGUGGUUAGUUAAGUUGGAUGUGAAAUCCCCGGGCUCAACCUGGGAACUGCAUUCAAAACUGACUGACUAGAGUAUGGUAGAGGGUGGUGGAAUUUCCUGUGUAGCGGUGAAAUGCGUAGAUAUAGGAAGGAACACCAGUGGCGAAGGCGACCACCUGGACUGAUACUGACACUGAGGUGCGAAAGCGUGGGGAGCAAACAGG